CAGGGAUUGCCUCAGUAACGGCGAGUGAAGCGGCAAUAGCUCAAAUUUGAAAGCUGGCUCACGCCCGCGUUGUAAUUUGUAGAGGAUGCUUCGGGUGCGGUGCCGGUCUAAGUUCUUUGGAACAAGACGUCAUAGAGGGUGAGAAUCCCGUAUGUGACUGGUUGCCUGCGCCUAUGUGAAGCUCCUUCGACGAGUCGAGUUGUUUGGGAAUGCAGCUCUAAAUGGGUGGUGUACUUCAUCUAAAGCUAAAUAUUGGCUGGAGACCGAUAGCGCACAAGUAGAGUGAUCGAAAGAUGAAAAGCACUUUGGAAAGAGAGUUAAACAGUACGUGAAAUUGUUGAAAGGGAAGCGCUUGCAAUCAGACUUGCGCUGCGUCGAUCAACCUGGGUUUUCCCUGGUGCACUCGGCGCAGCUCAGGCCAGCAUCAAUUUUGGCGGCUGGAUAAAGGCCUGGAGAACGUGGGUUGCUUCGGCGAUCGUUAUAGCUUCAGGUGCAAUGCAGCCAGCUGGGAUUGAGGACCGCGCUUCGGCUAGGAUGCUGGCGUAAUGGUUGUAAGCGACCCGUCUUGAAACACGGACCAAGGAGUCUAACAUUUUUGCGAGUGUUUGGGUGUUAAACCCAUACGCGUAAUGAAAGUGAACGGAGGUGAGAACCCUUAAGGGUGCAUCAUCGACCGAUCCUGAUGUCUUCGGAUGGAUUUGAGUAAGAGCAAAACUGUUGGGACCCGAAAGAUGGUCGACUGGCAAGUUCAGCCAUCCACAACAGCCGUAUGCUGUUAGUCGGCGCUAUGCGCUGGCGACACGCCCAAGGUGCGGAGAGAGCCUGUAUUUUUCAGGCCAAUCCGCAGCCCAUCCCACUUACCCGGGGUUGGCUCAGAGACUCAAUUGGCGUGGGUCUGGCAGCGGCCAGGCUUAAGAUAGAGCCCAGCUCAGCAGGCAACCGCUGGGACUAACUGGAACUAUGCCUGAAUAGGGUGAAGCCAGAGGAAACUCUGGUGGAGGCUCGCAGCGGUUCUGACGUGCAAAUCGAUCGUCAAAUUUGGGUAUAGGGGCGAAAGACUAAUCGAACCAUUGAUACCGCUAUUAGGUGGUUGAGAGGCCCGACUGGCCUAGUCGCUUCGGCGGCUAUACUGCAAAAUUGCGGGGACGGCUCGUUAGAUUCAGGCUACCACAGCGUGUUCGAAAGGACCCGCCACGGUAACAAGGCCUGGCAUCUGAGCUCAUCCGCAACCUCAGCCUACGGCUCACUUACCUGGGGAUCACGUUCGCCUUACCCGGCAGUGACCUUCCCGGGGGUUGGCUACGGCUGCGGCUCAUCGACUAGAUGGCAGUGGGUGCCCACAGCGCCUAAGGGAUAGUCAGUCCACCGCUGGCAAGCCGUGGAGCUACG
This 1389-nucleotide ribosomal RNA is filed under the name Coccomyces phyllocladi. Its description in RNAcentral is "eukaryotic LSU rRNA". It matches the Rfam family "Eukaryotic large subunit ribosomal RNA", at positions 69 to 1396 of the family's 3401-position model. The record is from RNAcentral. Lineage: Eukaryota; Fungi; Ascomycota; Leotiomycetes; Rhytismatales; Rhytismataceae.